GGCGGUGGCGCCCAGGCACCAGUGAGCACCUGAGUGCCCUCCAGCUUGCCCCGGGCUAGGUGUUUGGCCUCUGAAAGACCCCUUGUUGGAGACAGCUGUCAGGCCCCGGAAACCCCGCUCGUCCAGCAGGCGCUGGCUUCCUGCGUCAGUCUCCUGUGAGGCCCGCUCCAUGGAGCUGUGGACAAGACGGAACGUUUCUCCGGAGGCAAGGCUGGGGUCUAGCACCAGGCCACGGCUAUCACCCUUCCUCAGGGCCAGGGCCACUUGUGAGCCCC
This 275-nucleotide long non-coding RNA is filed under the name Heterocephalus glaber (naked mole-rat). RNAcentral describes it as "lncRNA (ENSHGLG00000043915.1)". The record is from RNAcentral. Lineage: Eukaryota; Metazoa; Chordata; Mammalia; Rodentia; Bathyergidae.